UACGUAGGUGGCAAGCGUUGUCCGGAUUUAUUGGGCGUAAAGGGAGCGCAGGCGGUGACUUAAGUCUGAUGUGAAAGCCCACAGCUCAACCGUGGAAGGUCAUUGGAAACUGGGUCACUUGAAUAUAGAAGAGGAAAGUGGAAUUCCAUGUGUAGCGGUGAAAUGCGUAGAUAUAUGGAGGAACACCAGUGGCGAAGGCGACUUUCUGGUCUAUUAUUGACGCUGAGGCUCGAAAGCAUGGGUAGCAACAGGAUUAGAUA
This 260-nucleotide ribosomal RNA is filed under the name uncultured prokaryote. RNAcentral describes it as "partial 16S ribosomal RNA". It matches the Rfam family "Bacterial small subunit ribosomal RNA", at positions 524 to 784 of the family's 1533-position model. The record is from RNAcentral.